This 650-nucleotide long non-coding RNA is filed under the name Pongo abelii (Sumatran orangutan). RNAcentral describes it as "lincRNA". Lineage: Eukaryota; Metazoa; Chordata; Mammalia; Primates; Hominidae. The record is from RNAcentral.
UUUGAUGAUAUCUGGAAUGACUGAUAAGGGGCAUCCGAAUCAUCUCCAAUCCUGACAUUCGGCUUUAGUAUGUCUGAAAGCAGACCUACUGCCACGUUUGGGAAUUUCCAGGGCAGAUAACCUCUAAGGUCUAAGUCUGAAAUUGUCAUUUAUAUAAUAUUUGGGCUUGCUGAAAUUAAGAUUCAUCUAUAUUGGGAAUCGGCUUCUGUCCUUCCCUGCCAUAUUCCUUGUGAAUUGUGAAUUCCUGCACCUCAAAUACAUAACAUCUUUAUCUGAAGUCACCAGUGGUGUUCUAGGAACACAGCUUUGUUUACUUUCACCAAAGCAUUUCUCAUCUGAUAUGGUUUGGCUGUGUCUCCACCCAAAUCUCAUCUUGGAUUGUAGCUCCCGUAAUUUCCACGUAUUGUGGGAGGGACCUGGUGGGAGGUAAUUGAAUCAUUGGGGUGGUUUCCCCCAUACUAUUCUCAUGGUAGUGAAUAAAUCUCACAAGAUCUGAUGGCUCUAUAAGGGGAAACCCCUUUUGCUUUGUUUUCAUUCUCUCUCUUGCCUGCUGCCAUGUAAGACGUGCCUUUUGCCUUCCAACAUGAUUGUGAGGCCUCCCCAGCCACGCUAACUGUGAGUCCAUUAAACCUCUUUUUCUUUAUAAUUUA